RNAcentral lists this ribosomal RNA (544 nucleotides) under uncultured bacterium. RNAcentral's name for it is "partial 16S ribosomal RNA". It matches the Rfam family "Bacterial small subunit ribosomal RNA", at positions 355 to 895 of the family's 1533-position model. The record is from RNAcentral.
UGGGGAAUUUUGGACAAUGGGCGAAAGCCUGAUCCAGCAAUGCCGCGUGUGUGAAGAAGGCCUUCGGGUUGUAAAGCACUUUUGUCCGGAAAGAAAUCCUUGGCUCUAAUACAGUCGGGGGAUGACGGUACCGGAAGAAUAAGCACCGGCUAACUACGUGCCAGCAGCCGCGGUAAUACGUAGGGUGCAAGCGUUAAUCGGAAUUACUGGGCGUAAAGCGUGCGCAGGCGGUUUGCUAAGACCGAUGUGAAAUCCCCGGGCUCAACCUGGGAACUGCAUUGGUGACUGGCAGGCUAGAGUAUGGCAGAGGGGGUAGAAUUCCACGUGUAGCAGUGAAAUGCGUAGAGAUGUGGAGAAUACCGAUGGCGAAGGCAGCCCCUGGGCCAAUACUGACGCUCAUGCACGAAAGCGUGGGGAGCAAACAGGAUUAGAUACCCUGGUAGUCCACGUCCUAAACGAUGUCAACUAGUUGUUGGGGAUUCAUUUCCUUAGUAACGUAGCUAACGCGUGAAGUUGACCGCCUGGGGAGUACGGUCGCAAGAUU